Molecule: long non-coding RNA, 925 nt
Organism: Ornithorhynchus anatinus (platypus)
Lineage: Eukaryota; Metazoa; Chordata; Mammalia; Monotremata; Ornithorhynchidae
Exons: 3
Source: RefSeq, a predicted model, not a curated record
CGCUUGACAGAUACCGACAUCAUCGUUACCUCAGCGUUUAAGAGCGCUCGGCACGUGCCGCUAUUAUUAUUAUUAUUUUUCGCAUCAUUAUUAGCAAAACGACUUGAAAAAGCAAACAGGCUCAACCUGCCCGUGGCCUGAGAGGCGGAGAAUGAAACCGCUGUCCCGAAUUCAUUCGGUCACAUUUAUUGAGCGCUUAUUGGACGCGGAACACUGUACUAAGCGCUUGGGAGAGUACAGAGGGACACUGAACAGGUCCAUUCCCUGCCCACAGCGAGCUUAGGGAUUAGAGACUCACGUGAGUCACGGUGACAUUUUUGAAGAGCGCUCCGCUCUGCCACGGCUAAGGUGACGAUUCUGUGACGGUUUUGCCCAGGCGACCCCUCGUAGAGGAAACGCGUCUCUCUUUCCCGCACACGGCGAAGCUCUGGGACCCGAGGCAAACCAUCCGUUGUGGCAGUCGGCAAAUCCGGCCCUCGGCGCCCCGGGUCGCAGCCUCAAAGCCGACGUCGGGCGAAGCGGCAUCCUGCCCGUCCGACUCCCGGAGGAUCUGAAAACCGGAAGUCUCUUCUUCGCCUUAAAGCCGACGUCGAGCGGAAGGGCGUCCUCGCCGUCGGACUCCCGGCGGACCUGAGAGAGGCAAGUCUCUUCUUCACCGAAGCGGCCUCAUUAAGCAUUUUCCCUCGUGAGAUGACUGUUUUCGCCGCUUGUCUUCUGGGACGUCGGCGGGCCCUAGCUCCAGUGAAAGUUGCAGCGAGUUGCAAGUUGAGACGUUGUCGCGUACAACCGCCAUGAUGGAAUCUCUUCAGCUCCUUCGCGCACGGUGGUCGGACCUGGUGGCAGAAGGAUCGGUCGGAGGUCGUGGCUUCGAAUCCCGGCUCGGCCACUUGUCAGCUGUGUGACUCUGGGCAGGUCGCUUCACUUC